GAUGAAGAACGUAGCGAAAUGCGAUACUUGGUGUGAAUUGCAGAAUCCCGUGAACCAUCGAGUCUUUGAACGCAAGUUGCGCCCGAAGCCAUUAGGCCGAGGGCACGCCUGCCUGGGCGUCACACGUCGUUGCCCCCCCAUCUACUCCUUCGGGAUUGCGGGGGGCGGAUGAUGGCCUCCCGUGCGCCUCGUCGCGCGGUUGGCAUAAAUGCCAAGUCCUCGGCGACGCACGCCACGACAAUCGGUGGUUGCGAAACCUCGGUUGCCCGUCGUGUGCGGUCGUCGCGCAUCGAGGGCUCGAAAAAAUUGCCGGGCUCCGGCUCGGCUUUCAACGCGACCCCAGGUCAGGCGGGGUUACCCGCUGAAUUUAAGCAUAUCAAUAAGCGGAUGA
RNAcentral lists this unclassified non-coding RNA (391 nucleotides) under soil metagenome. RNAcentral's name for it is "partial contains 5.8S ribosomal RNA, internal transcribed spacer 2, and large subunit ribosomal RNA". The stretch from base 1 to 122 matches the Rfam family "5.8S ribosomal RNA", at positions 35 to 154 of the family's 154-position model. The record is from RNAcentral.